This 451-nucleotide ribosomal RNA is filed under the name uncultured bacterium. Its description in RNAcentral is "bacterial SSU rRNA". It matches the Rfam family "Bacterial small subunit ribosomal RNA", at positions 354 to 796 of the family's 1533-position model. The record is from RNAcentral.
GUGGGGAAUAUUGGACAAUGGGGGGAACCCUGAUCCAGCCAUGCCGCGUGUGUGAAGAAGGCCUUUUGGUUGUAAAGCACUUUAAGCGAGGAGGAGGCUACCGAGAUUAAUACUCUUGGAUAGUGGACGUUACUCGCAGAAUAAGCACCGGCUAACUCUGUGCCAGCAGCCGCGGUAAUACAGAGGGUGCAAGCGUUAAUCGGAUUUACUGGGCGUAAAGCGCGAGUAGGUGGCCAAUUAAGUCAAAUGUGAAAUCCCCGAGCUUAACUUGGGAAUUGCAGUCGAUACUGGUUGGCUAGAGUAUGGGAGAGGAUGGUAGAAUUCCAGGUGUAGCGGUGAAAUGCGUAGAGAUCUGGAGGAAUACCGAUGGCGAAGGCAGCCAUCUGGCCUAAUACUGACACUGAGGUGCGAAAGCAUGGGGAGCAAACAGGAUUAGAUACCCCUGUAGUCC